Molecule: long non-coding RNA, 1137 nt
Filed under: Amphibalanus amphitrite
Lineage: Eukaryota; Metazoa; Arthropoda; Thecostraca; Balanomorpha; Balanidae
Description: uncharacterized LOC122373302
Source: RNAcentral
UAUCCCUAAGGAACAUCUCUAUAAUGCCUCAGUGCUUCCGGUCCUUCCUUUCUCGAAAGCACUGCGAAGGCUGCCGGCAGCGUGGUUGUUCCUUUCGCGAGUUGGUGUCUGGCGCACAGCGCGAACGUCUCAUGAGCAAGAAGCCGUAGAGACGAUGCUCUCAAUGUUGGACACCGAAGUGAGGCAACUCAUCGGGCACAACGCCAGAAUGUUGAUGUCCCUGUUGUGUCCUGGCCCUGGGUCACGCGUGUCGCGCCUUGACAGCCGUGACCUUGAACGACCUUGACCGGCCGGGCCGGGCCGAGCGGCCGAGGGUCAGUAUCGUCCGAGCGGCGCUGGUGUCAACACAGCUGAGUGCCGCGAGGUGAGGUGAGGCGUGUUCGCCGAGACGGUCCGGCCACAGUGAAAUAGUGAAAUAGUGGUGUAAUCGAUAAUAUGCGUGGCCAGUACGCGAGUGAGAUUGACCCUGUGCGCGACACCGAUUCAGAGACGCACAUAAGUUAACACCGUCGUGUCGGAUCGCUCGUACCGGUGAUGGGAGACAACGAGAAGCUGGAGCGUCUGAUGGCGCUCAUGGUUCAGCAGUCAGCAGGCUGCCAUGCUGGAGUAACUCCUCCCCAGCCAGAUGCAGCUACCAGCUGCGCAAACUGUCUAGAGCGGCCAACCGGCUGUCGUCGCCUCCGCCGCUCCUAUGGCUAGACUUCGGUCUCGCAUGGACUCCCGUCGGUAGUGUUCACAUGCCAGCCCAUACAUUUUACCUGUAUUAACUUUUUAAUGUCUGUGCCUGUGUAACUAUUGUACGUGCCUGUACUUAACAGUGUUUGAAUUGUACAACAUCGUUCGCACAGUCUGUGGACCGUGGGGAACGCCGCUUGACAUGCAUUUUUGCACUUACCUGCAUUCCGUGUUAAAAGUAAAGUAAAGGGACUGAGCUGUCGUGCACCGGGAGAUAUUAUGGUCUCUUGCUAAACGACUCGGUUGAAACUCAGCACGCUGGUCGGUACUGACUGGGGCGGCAAGCGAAAGGGUUUGGGCAGCUUUUGAAACAAAAUGUUCGCAUCGAAUGACUGCAUCGCAUGUUCUGUUCCAGAGUGAGUUUUUUGACAUCUGACACAAUAAAUAUACAUGCCUGUUCUU